This 72-nucleotide transfer RNA is filed under the name Aedes aegypti (yellow fever mosquito). It matches the Rfam family "tRNA". From Rfam's summary of the family: Transfer RNA (tRNA) molecules are approximately 80 nucleotides in length. Their secondary structure includes four short double-helical elements and three loops (D, anti-codon, and T loops). Further hydrogen bonds mediate the characteristic L-shaped molecular structure. tRNAs have two regions of fundamental functional importance: the anti-codon, which is responsible for specific mRNA codon recognition, and the 3' end, to which the tRNAs corresponding amino acid is attached (by aminoacyl-tRNA synthetases). tRNAs cope with the degeneracy of the genetic code in two manners: having more than one tRNA (with a specific anti-codon) for a particular amino acid; and 'wobble' base-pairing, i.e. permitting non-standard base-pairing at the 3rd anti-codon position. Lineage: Eukaryota; Metazoa; Arthropoda; Insecta; Diptera; Culicidae. The record is from Rfam by way of RNAcentral.
GGCUCGGUAGCUUAAUUGGUAAAGCACUCGUCUAGCAUACAAGAGUCGUGGGUUCGAAUCCCAUCUGAGCAC